RNAcentral lists this unclassified non-coding RNA (153 nucleotides) under uncultured Pleosporales. RNAcentral describes it as "sequence contains ITS2". The record is from RNAcentral. Lineage: Eukaryota; Fungi; Ascomycota; Dothideomycetes; Pleosporales.
AAACCCUUCAAGCACUGCUUGGUGUUGGGCGCUUGUCCCGCUUCCGGCGCGGACUCGCCUCAAAAACAUUGGCGGCCUGUGUAUUGGCUUCGAGCGCAGCAGACCCGCGCGUCGUCUCCUCCAGCAUGGGCGUCCAUCAAGACGUACACCCAA